This 442-nucleotide ribosomal RNA is filed under the name uncultured bacterium. Its description in RNAcentral is "bacterial SSU rRNA". It matches the Rfam family "Bacterial small subunit ribosomal RNA", at positions 958 to 1398 of the family's 1533-position model. The record is from RNAcentral.
AACGCGAAGAACCUUACCUGGACUUGACAUGCAUUUGACAGCUUCAGAAAUGAAGUCUUCUCGCAAGAGACAGAUGCACAGGUGCUGCAUGGCUGUCGUCAGCUCGUGCCGUGAGGUGUUGGGUUAAGUCCCGCAACGAGCGCAACCCUUGUCGUUAGUUGCCAACAUGUAAUGGUGGGCACUCUAGCGAGACUGCCUAGGUUAACUAGGAGGAAGGUGAGGAUGACGUCAAGUCCGCAUGGCCUUUAUGUCCAGGGCUACACACGUGCUACAAUGGUCGGUACAGAAGGCAGCGAAGUCGUGAGAUGAAGCAAAUCCCCAAAGCCGGCCCCAGUUCAGAUUGGAGUCUGCAACUCGACUCCAUGAAGAUGGAAUUGCUAGUAAUGGCGGGUCAGCAACACCGCCGUGAAUACGUUCCCGGGCCUUGUACACACCGAGUAUA